AUGCUAGACUUUCACAUGUGCUCUUUCUAUACCUUACAGUUCUGGUUGGGAAAUGUUUCAAUAUCAGAGAAGUUUGAGCAGAAUUGCCCAUUUCAGUUCUUCAAGGAAAUACUAGAGACAGUGGCUUUGAACCUGAGACAAAGAUCUAUUAACCAUUCACCUGGAACAAAUGUUCUUCCACUGCACAGCAGGGUCCACUCUUCCCAGUGUUUCAGAUUCAGGUGAAGACAACUAUAUGAAAGGUAGGAACAAGAUUGUUCUUUCUCAGCAAUGUAAAGCAAAACAUAAAUGGAAUACUUUUAGACAGUUGUGCUUUAAAGGGGAAAAAAAAAUCCUGAUAUAGAAAACCACAAAAACUAUUUUGGAUUUUCAUCUUUGCCACAGUUUCCACAGUUUCUACAGGCAUGUUGGCAUUAUUGCAGACUGUUCUGUUCUGUAGCUCAACAAAAAUUUGAAUGCUGUUAAUUCCCUGUCCCCACUCUCCUCCCUCCCCACUAAUAAGAACUUCCAAAUCCCAAACUAUUUCAUUCUUAUUAUUCCAUCUAGAAAACCAUAUUAUUUGGAGGCAGUAAGUCCAAACAAACAAACAAAAAAAGGCUUCCUACCUGAUUGUGGAACACUUUUGCCAUAUAUUUCUUCCUUUGACAAGUACAUGCAUAUAUACAGUGAUUUAUCCACCUUCUCUUGUGUAUGAUGGAUAACUGGGGAUGAUGAAGCAUCCCACUCUAAAGCUUACAACUUUUGUGUAAUUUGUAAGUCCCUAAUGUGGGCUCACUUAGCAGGAUUUCUAGCAGGAUUUCUUUUGAUUCCUACUAUUUCCUGGAGUGUGGGAGUAGUGCCCCUAAUCUCUGCACACCUCUGCAUCACUCCAUGAUGCAGUGGGAUGUACCCUUCUGUUAGAACUUGACUGGCAGCAACACCAAGGUCAGCUUCAAUCUGUAGAAGUCACUGCUAAAGAUACUGGUGGGAGCUCACCCUCACCAUCCGAAAAUCUGCAGAAACUAAAUACAUUGUAGGAAAAACAGAUGAACUUUUUUUGUCUCUUGAAAAAGAUUAAUGAUAUGGUUUAAAAACAAAACCAAAAAUAAAUUUAUCAA
This 1097-nucleotide long non-coding RNA is filed under the name Anas platyrhynchos platyrhynchos (common mallard). RNAcentral describes it as "lncRNA (ENSAPLG00000024709.1)". The record is from RNAcentral. Lineage: Eukaryota; Metazoa; Chordata; Aves; Anseriformes; Anatidae.